GUAAACGUGAUUGUAAGUGGAAUCCAAAGAAUUUAGAGUAGACAGUUAAGAGAAUAUUACCUGUAACAAAGAAUUUAGAGUAGACAGUUAAGACAAUAUUACCUGUAUUAUUCCAGCAUGAUCACCCUUGGAAUGCUCAGGUCCAGAAUUCAACCAUGUCCCAGGCCAAUGGGUUCCAUCUGCCAUCCACGUAGCUUUUGGGAUCUUUACAUUCUCUACUGGUUCAUCCUCAGUCUUCUGCCUCUGUUGCUUCAUGGCCUUAAUUUCUUCCCUUGCAUGAUAAGCGUCAGACCUACGGCGAAUGGACUCUGGCAAGCCAUUGAUACGGACCUUAAACUCAUCAUACUCACGCUUUGCCCGCCUACGAUCCUUAACAAAGUCUUGCUUUACCUUGUUUUUGUACGGAUCCUUCUUUAAACUGAAGUAACUGUCUGGAUUUCUAGGUUCGAUGUUAUGUUUACGACAAAAUGGUACCCAUAAAUUAGCAAAACUUGCAGCUUCUGCCAUUGCCUCAAAAGUCAAAAGAGCCCCUCCAUCAUCAGAAACAUAGCAAGCAAGCUUUUCCACAGGAUAAUCUGCAGCUAGAAUGGACAAUAUAGUAUUUGCAGUCACAAGAGGAGGUUCCUUCUCUGGAUCAGCGGUAGAGACAAACAGAUCAACGCCAGGGAGAUCAGAUCUCCCAGUAGGAUUGUUUGGGCUAGGUGAUUCAAAUUUGUCUUUUAAGACACCAAGAUCAGUCGCACGGUUGAUAGGGCAAAGUUUGGGC
This 766-nucleotide long non-coding RNA is filed under the name Nicotiana benthamiana. RNAcentral's name for it is "long non-coding RNA (NBEN_LNC030912)". The record is from RNAcentral. Lineage: Eukaryota; Viridiplantae; Streptophyta; Magnoliopsida; Solanales; Solanaceae.